ACGUCACUCCUGCGGGAGGCAGCAGUGGGGAAUAUUAGACAAUGGGCGCAAGCCUGAUCCAGCCAUGCCGCGUGAGUGAUGAAGGCCCUAGGGUUGUAAAGCUCUUUCACCGGUGAAGAUAAUGACGGUAACCGGAGAAGAAGCCCCGGCUAACUUCGUGCCAGCAGCCGCGGUAAUACGAAGGGGGCUAGCGUUGUUCGGAUUUACUGGGCGUAAAGCGCACGUAGGCGGACUAUUAAGUCAGGGGUGAAAUCCCGGGGCUCAACCCCGGAACUGCCUUUGAUACUGGUAGUCUUGAGUUCGAGAGAGGUGAGUGGAAUUCCGAGUGUAGAGGUGAAAUUCGUAGAUAUUCGGAGGAACACCAGUGGCGAAGGCGGCUCACUGGCUCGAUACUGACGCUGAGGUGCGAAAGCGUGGGGAGCAAACAGGAUUAGAAACCCCGGUAGUCCCAUGA
This 454-nucleotide ribosomal RNA is filed under the name uncultured organism. RNAcentral describes it as "partial 16S ribosomal RNA". It matches the Rfam family "Bacterial small subunit ribosomal RNA", at positions 330 to 800 of the family's 1533-position model. The record is from RNAcentral.